RNAcentral lists this ribosomal RNA (1248 nucleotides) under Triticum aestivum (bread wheat). Its description in RNAcentral is "partial small subunit ribosomal RNA". Lineage: Eukaryota; Viridiplantae; Streptophyta; Magnoliopsida; Poales; Poaceae. The record is from RNAcentral.
AUGACGGCCAAAUUUCGGCAAGCUCGAGCCCCCACAUACUAUGGCACUGCCACCAAUGCAAGUGUGACCCGUGUGUACCUAUUAGACAACCACCACGCCACUGGAUCAUCCUGGAACCUCGAGUUCGUCAAGGGCUUCCAAUCUAUGCGAGUCGUACAAGUUACACCAACCAAUGAAGCAGUAUGCGCCAUGAUAAUCCUUCAACAUUUCGCAAAUUAUCCAGAUGAGUACAUUCUACGGUGCGCCUUCGUCAUAGGCCUUGUCAAGAAGAUGGAAGAAAGAGGUCACAUGAAGCUAGCAAUGAAGAAGAAAUCUCAACUCGUGAGAGGAGAGAACACAAAGGAUUCAAAGGAGGGGGUGAGAAUGAUGAGAAAAAGGUUUGAGGAGGAACCAGAAGAAAAAGAUGAUGUUGAGGGGGAGGUUGAAGUUGGCGAGGAACAUAUUUCGAGGACCUCGCUACAACAAGUCACAUUGGAAGUUGAUUCAGGGGAAGCCAUCAUGUGCUUUGUUGAGUAUACGUAUGAGACACAUGAUGGCACACAAAUGAUUCAUGGAAUAAUUCUGCAAAAUGGUUCACAUACUGUCCUCGGCAACGCCGCAAAUGAAAGAGAGGCGUUCCUUACCAAUGAUUGUGUACAGUUCAAAGUAGGUGACAUGAGUGAAUCAGUUACUGUCAACUUCCAGCUGGUUCCCUGGGAUCACAAGUGCAGAAAAGAUCAGCUGGAAGCUAUUAGGGUGGAGAGGGCCAAGGAAGAGGAUAGGAAGAAGAAAGGUUUGCCUGUGGAGUAUAUCUGCAAAAGCCUAUACUGUCCUGGGAAAGGUGCCUUUUUCUCCCUCCCUUAUGAGAAAAUGGGCGCCGAAACCGGCGCUUGGAGUUCAUGUGAGGAGCGAGAAGCGGUCCGAGAUGAGUUCAAAAUACUGUCAGAGAUCAGCUUUGUCCUCAACAAUGUCGCAUACCAUAUUCAUGACUUGAUGUAUAUCCGUCCUGAGUUUUUAUCUCCCGUCGAGGGUCAUGGGACCUACAGGGCUGGAAGAAAUAUGGUCUUGGAGCCCUAUGUGGGUCCUAAAGACCUGGCACGCAAUACUAACAAACUCACCCGUCUACUCCUCAGGGCCUUGGCUUCAGCUUGCCGUUUCACACGGCGGCAUGCCGAUUCACACGACACCAGGCAUCUCACCAUCUACAUUGCUUCACACGAUCUGGCAUCUCGCCUUGCACACUUGCUGCUCCAAGACUCCUACCCAUGA